This 312-nucleotide ribosomal RNA is filed under the name Triticum aestivum (bread wheat). Its description in RNAcentral is "partial small subunit ribosomal RNA". Lineage: Eukaryota; Viridiplantae; Streptophyta; Magnoliopsida; Poales; Poaceae. The record is from RNAcentral.
AUGUCCCAAGUGAACUGGCUUAUUGCGAUGAUUUGGUCGAUUCAGACUUCUCUUUAUUUUGAAUGGCUUUCACCUUUGGGCAAUUCAAUUGAUGGAAGGUGUUGUUUCAAUGAUAUUGAAGCUUUUUUAGGGAAUGGCGUUCUCGAUGGCCGGGAGGGACCGGCUCGGCCUCCAUGGCCUGCUCCCGCCCAGUGUCGUUUCCUUGCAGCAGCAGAUGACCGAUUCCCUGCCGGUUCGGUUCCUUCCUUGCUUACCACUCAACUGACAGCCAUCAUUGGUAUCGUGCUCUGGCUCCCUAUUUCUCAUUGCUAA